GCUGGCAUGGUGUAGUGGUUUGAGCGCUGGAUUACAACUCUGGAGACCAGGGUUCAAAUCCCGACUCAGCC
This 71-nucleotide transfer RNA is filed under the name Phrynosoma platyrhinos (Desert horned lizard). Its description in RNAcentral is "tRNA-OTHER". The record is from RNAcentral. Lineage: Eukaryota; Metazoa; Chordata; Lepidosauria; Squamata; Phrynosomatidae.